Molecule: long non-coding RNA, 3878 nt
Filed under: Canis lupus familiaris (dog)
Lineage: Eukaryota; Metazoa; Chordata; Mammalia; Carnivora; Canidae
Description: lncRNA (ENSCAFG00845007838.1)
Source: RNAcentral
UUUUUUUUUUUUUUUUUUUUUUUUUUUUUUUUACCAGAGGAAGACCUGCUGGCUUUCUCUUCCGGCAGGCAGAGAGAUAAGGUUCAGAGAUUGAAGAUAGGGAAAGAGAGUGAGUGACUCAAUGGUAACAGCGAAUGAACUGUCUUCCUGCCCCUUCCUGGUCUAGCUCUUCAUGGAUGGACAAGGUCCUUGAGCUCCAUACAGCCAUAGUAAGAUGCCAGAUGGAAUCCGCAAAAAAUAAGUAGAAACAUGUCGCUAGGUAUGCAUUCCUUGAAACCUUGAUACGGUUACAGAUUAGCAGAGAAAUAUUUUGGGGGGUACUUAGCUCUCUUAUGAAAAUAAAAACAUGAGGGAUAUUAUUUUCCUCCGUCUAACACAUGGCCUGAUGGAAUUUGGACCCAAACAGGCAACAGAGCCUGCCUCUGUAGCCGAAGAGCUAGAAAGUAAAGACCUACACUGGAGGUGCUAAGAGUCCUUCAACAUAAAAAAAAAGGAUGACUGACUUGGAUAACAUGGAGAUGGGGGUUCUUAGCCUACCACACCACAGAACUCCUGAGCUGGUCUUGUAGCUCUCCAGGGGCACUUGGCAUGGAAAAGCAUUAAAGCAUGGCUGUUUUUCACUUGAAUUCUACAGACAGCUCCUGGAUUAAAAGUUUCUGCUUUACCAUUUUCAACCUUUAAUAAAUGGAGAAAUUCAUUAGUCCUUGCUGACGUCAGUUUCUUCGUCUCUACAAUGGGAGUGGUGUCUGCUGCCUAGAGAAUUUAGAAUACAAAAAUAUGAGCUUUGAACUGGGGCUGGCAUAUGGCAAAGUGCAACAUUUGAGGUUCUUUUUCUUGAGUGGAGGGAGGUAAAAUUUACCCUUUAUAAAGUAGGCCAACAGAGAUGUUCUAGGCAAGAAAAACAUCAUUGGGCUGGGGAUUCACAUAUGAAAAGCACUACACAAAUAUAAAUAUUACCAGUCAUAACACUAGCAAAAAGAAACUAUAUGAAUGUUUUCUUGCAUUGCUCAUUGCAGUGAAUUUCAUUUUUUAAGAAAUUUAAAAUUUAUAUCACUUCUCUUGAGGAUAAUUUAAUUUUCUCCAGUAGCUUUUUUCAUCCCUACUCUAUUGCCUCAUGAACAGCACUCAAGUUUAUUAAUUUGUUUGAGUGUAAACAUUAUCCUCUUAGUUCCUGUCCUGUUUCUAGGGCCAUGCCAAAAGGCUAUAUGCUGCAUGUUAAUUCUUUAUCUUUAAAUCACACAAAAUGUAAUUCAGAAUAGUAACUUACAUGCAAGUCCUUAGUCCAGCCUAGAAAAUUUUCAUUUACAUAUUUUAAAUUAGUCUGCUUUCAGUUCAAUGAUUUUGUCUCAUUUUAUAGUUACAAAUAUGUGGUGCAUGUUGUUUAGCUAAAUUUAAAAAUUAGGAAUAAUUACUGUAGAAACAGUACUUUUAUAUAUGCCAUUCUGUGAACCAUGGGAGAGCUAUUAUUCAAAAAGAGAGGAGAAUUCCCCUGAAAAAAUGUAAGUCUUCGAGUUACUGGUUUUUAAAGGAAAAGACCCUAAAAUUAUUAUGAAAUCAGAUAAAUUUGGAGUAUAAUUUCAAGCUGUGUCCUGAUUUAUCUCAUGCUGUUUGAUAUUGCCACAUAAGAGAUGCCAGCAUGGUCAAAUGCAAAUUUAUACUUCUAAAUGCUUUUCUUUGUCAAAGGCAUUUUGUUUAGCUUGAAAUUCCCAAAAGACUUACCAUGAUUUUGAGUAUUUUCUGAAAUGGAAACCUUUGAUAAAAAUAGAAGAUGCAGAGAUUAAGCUGAAUGAUAGCAUUAUUCAGCAAAUUCAAAUCCUAGACCAUCUCCUAGGCUCUGUGAACCAAAACAAAGUUGGACAAAAUGACCACUGUCUGCCAGCUGAUAGAGGGAUCAGAGGCUUUAGUGAGGGAAUGAGGAAGUGUGCAACAGGAGAGGUCGGGUUGGACUGAGCUAGAAGACGGACAGAAUCAGAUCAAUAAGCAGAUCAACCUGUUCUAGUGACAAGGGCUGUUUCCAGGCUUUGCCAAGAGUCUGGAAAUUCACAUUUGCAAGAAGGAAGCAAAUCUGUGAUGGGUUCACCUCGGUGCAAACUGUGGAGAGGCCUGGGGGCUUCUGUAUUCCUCUCUGCUUUGUGGGCUUUCUUGGCUGCACCCAUCUACGCAGGUAAACCUUUCUGAAACAAGUGGGCAGUGGAAAUCACACAAAUAGAACACCGAAGCAACUACUUGACCAGUGAUUUAUCAGAGGGUUAGAGAAAAGCGAGAGACUAAUUUUAAUAAAUCUUUUUUAUGGUUAGUUUUAGGUUUAAAAAGGAUGAUAUGACUGUCUCUUCCAAUGAUUAUAUUGUGAGUAGAAUGAAUAUAUAUAUAUUUAUAUAUUUAUAUAUAUAUAUUUUUUCCUCUUGUAAUCUAAAUGAUAGUGAUCCUCCUUGAUUGGGUUCUUGCAUGGACUGAAGUAUAUAUAAUAUAAAGAAUGAGGUAGGAUUUUUUUUAUUGUCCAUGUACCAUUUAAUUUAGAAUCUUGGCUAGAGGGACGCUUGGGUGGCUCAGCAGAUUUAGCACCUACCUUUGUCCCAAGGCAUGGUCCUGGAGUCCUGGGAUCGAGUCCCACAUCUGGCUCCCUGCAUGGAGCUUGCUUCUCCCUCUGCCUGUGUCUCUGCCUCUCUCUCUCUCUCUGCGUCUUUCAUGAAUGAAUACAUUUAAAAAAUCUUUUAAAAAAAGAAUCUUGGCUAGAUUGCUUACUUAUCUUGGAUUUUUCUGCAAUACACGUAGAAGGUGCUCAGUAUUUUUAUUAUUUUUUCUUUAGAUUAAAAACUGUAGUUUGUUUGCAUUGUAAUCAAGAUGGAACAACCAAUUUUUAAAAAUUGGAGCUAUAAUAUGAAAGUUGAAUUGGGUUACAAUUUUUCUCAUAAAAAACAUUUUUCAUUAUUAGAUGCCUUUAAAAUGCAAUGCUUAAAAAAUAAAAUGCUAUGCUUAUUAGGCUCUACUAAGUGUGAUACAAAGCAAGUUAAAACAAUUUUUUUUUUUUACAAUAGCAAUAACAAAACAAUAGCAGUAAAAUGUUCUGGUUAAAUUUUAUCUGCUCUACUUGAAUAUGGAUGAUAAAUUUUAUGUAGAAACUCUUUCCUAUAGGUAAAAACAGUCCACCGUAAUGUGUUUUUUUUUUUCUAUGUCAUACUGAGAGAAAGCUGUCAAAUACUAGUUUAUCGGUAUAUAGAAAUCAGAAUGGUUUUUCACAUGGGACAUUAAUUUCAUCUAGCUGCGAAGAAGAACCAGUCACUGAGGUUUUGGUCUAAUCAAGCAGUGGGCACCUUGAACAUGAUCACAGAAUCACUUUAGAAGAAGCUACAUAUGGUGAGAUUCAUUUCUCUUUCUAGAUGACUCUUCAUGUAACUCUCCAUGACUGUUCUCCUUCUCUCAACAGAACACAGUCAGGUUCCUUAGGCUGUGGGUUUUGGUAGGUUGUAUUUCUGUUGGUAUGUACCAAAUCUGUGCAAAAAACUAAAGAGAAUGAAUGAACUAAUGAGUUCAUGGAGGUGUUCAUUGACUUUGCUAGUGUAACCAAGGAUGAUUAUACCAAAUGAUGGUGUGGUGAGAAGGGGAGGGAGGGUCUGCAUGAUACAGAGAACAUCUCCAUGUCAGAGGCAGGCAAGAGGAAUAGGAGCAGAGGCUCUUCAAGCCAUUGAGGUAAGACAGCUGAUAUGGGAAAUCUUUUAAUUACAUCAGACAUUAAAAGAUAUUUUAGAACUAAUAAACACUUCUGACUUUUCAUAGUCUUGACAAAUGUCCAUUUUAACUCUUUUAUAAACCUUCCAGUGAGGUGACUGAGGCUAGUCACCCAUUGGCAAUAAAUAUAACACACCAUGAAAAAAAAAAAA